Molecule: ribosomal RNA, 497 nt
Filed under: uncultured bacterium
Lineage: Bacteria
Description: partial 16S ribosomal RNA
Rfam family: Bacterial small subunit ribosomal RNA
Source: RNAcentral
GAUGAACGCUGGCGGCGUGCCUAAUACAUGCAAGUCGAGCGAACAGAUAAGGAGCUUGCUCCUUUGACGUUAGCGGCGGACGGGUGAGUAACACGUGGAUAACCUACCUAUAAGACUGGGAUAACUUCGGGAAACCGGAGCUAAUACCGGAUAACAUAUUGAACCGCAUGGUUCAAUAGUGAAAGGCGGCUUUGCUGUCACUUAUAGAUGGAUCCGCGCCGUAUUAGCUAGUUGGUAAGGUAACGGCUUACCAAGGCAACGAUACGUAGCCGACCUGAGAGGGUGAUCGGCCACACUGGAACUGAGACACGGUCCAGACUCCUACGGGAGGCAGCAGUAGGGAAUCUUCCGCAAUGGGCGAAAGCCUGACGGAGCAACGCCGCGUGAGUGAUGAAGGUCUUCGGAUCGUAAAACUCUGUUAUCAGGGAAGAACAAAUGUGUAAGUAGCUGUGCACAUCUUGACGGUACCUGAUCAGAAAGCCACGGCUAACUACGUG